AGAGCGAACGCUGGCGGCGUGCUUAACACAUGCAAGUCGAACGCGCAGCAUUCUGUAGCAAUACAGGGUGUGGGCGCGUGGCGAACGGGUGCGUAACACGUGGAUAACCUUCCUUGAGGUGGGGAAUAACCCAGUGAAAAUUGGGCUAAUACCGCAUAACAUCGCGAUGGCACAUGCUGAUGCGAUCAAAGGCGCAAGUCGCCACAAGAGGGAUCCGCGGCCGAUUAGCUUGUUGGCGAGGUAAUGGCUCACCAAGGCAAUGAUCAGUA
RNAcentral lists this ribosomal RNA (269 nucleotides) under uncultured bacterium. RNAcentral's name for it is "partial small subunit ribosomal RNA". It matches the Rfam family "Bacterial small subunit ribosomal RNA", at positions 26 to 285 of the family's 1533-position model. The record is from RNAcentral.